Molecule: transfer RNA, 71 nt
Filed under: Uranoscopus sp. ZY-2022
Lineage: Eukaryota; Metazoa; Chordata; Actinopteri; Uranoscopiformes; Uranoscopidae
Description: tRNA-Ile
Rfam family: tRNA
About the family: Transfer RNA (tRNA) molecules are approximately 80 nucleotides in length. Their secondary structure includes four short double-helical elements and three loops (D, anti-codon, and T loops). Further hydrogen bonds mediate the characteristic L-shaped molecular structure. tRNAs have two regions of fundamental functional importance: the anti-codon, which is responsible for specific mRNA codon recognition, and the 3' end, to which the tRNAs corresponding amino acid is attached (by aminoacyl-tRNA synthetases). tRNAs cope with the degeneracy of the genetic code in two manners: having more than one tRNA (with a specific anti-codon) for a particular amino acid; and 'wobble' base-pairing, i.e. permitting non-standard base-pairing at the 3rd anti-codon position.
Source: RNAcentral
GGAGCUGUGCCUGAAAUCUAAGGACCACUUUGAUAGAGUGAACCAUGUGGGUUAAAACCCCUCCAACUCCU